UUGCACUUUGUUUCCUGUAGUUUAGUCACCUUAGGAGGUGUUAUCGAUAAUUCUUAGAUCUUGUCUGUACAUGAUCCCUCAUUCACUACUAGCUUCCUUAGCAACUCACAUUUGUAUUAUGGUUCAGAAAUGCCUCCACAAUAACCAAUGACUUGUCUCUGGUAUGAUGUCCACUAGCAUGAAUCCACCAUAAGGAUGUUUAGAAAUUCAUUGCAUUUGCUAUAACUGAGAUUUCGGAUCCACUGGCAUCAUUGUGGCUUGCAUGUCAGUACUUUGUACAGUAGUAAAUAUAGUAACAUAUAUCAUUUUAUGUUUUGUGAUAGUUCCAUUUUUACACUUACAGAGUGUUGAGUAUAUACUUCAAAUUUGCUUUUAGGCUGGGUGAGAAGUACAAAUCAAUACAUCUCUGUAGCUCACUGAAUUAACUGAUUUUUCCUUUUAGUGCAAAUAUAUUAUAUAUGUUUGCCAGAAGAUCAUUUUGCUCUUGUUUUAAUCCAUGUAUGGUAACUUGCACUGACAUUCUAAGUUUGAUUAUUGGAUAUUAUUGCCUUUCUUUCCAUUUUCCCCAAUACUCAUGAGUCCAUGGCAGCCAUCAUCCAGUAAGUUAUCUGGCUAUCAUUUAGUUGCUUCAUGUAGCAGAAUGCUUCAAUAGCUUUGGCAAUAUCUAUAAGCUUUUGGAUUUCAGGUUCCUAAGCUUGUGAUUUUCAGCUCUUGUAUUAGGCUAUAAAUGAUAUGUUGUUAUCCCAUUUUCAGCAAAUCAGAACAUUCAUCCAGAUGAGGACUAACUUGAAGGUGGUCGAUAACUCUGGGGCCAAGUGAGUGAUGUGCAUCCAGUCCCUGAGGGGGAAGAAAGGAGCAAGGCUCGGGGACAUGAUCAUCGGAUCCGUAAAGGAGGCCCAGCCUCGUGGCAAGGUCAAGAAAGAAGACGUAGUCUACGGCGUGGUCGUCCGCGCCGCCAUGAAGAAAGGGCGCAGCGACGGCAGCGAGGUCCAGUUCGACGACAACGAGGUGGUCCUCGUGAACAAGAAGGGUGAGCUGAUCGGCACCCGCGUCUUCGGCCCCGUCCCCCACGAGCUGAGGAAGAAGAAGCACCUCAAGAUCCUGGCCCUGGCUGAACACAUCGUUUGAGGUGUGUCGCAGAGCCAAGAGCCAAGUGUUUAUGGGAAUGUUUUUUUGUCUGUGUUCUCUGUUUGAAUAAUGCAUUGUGAAACGAUAGCAUGGACCGUUUGAACUAUUUUGAUGAUAUUGCUCGCC
RNA transcript from Zea mays, 1254 nucleotides. It is a transcript of the gene named 50S ribosomal protein HLP, mitochondrial pseudogene, with no coding region annotated. The record is from RefSeq and is marked validated. The transcript has a single exon. Lineage: Eukaryota; Viridiplantae; Streptophyta; Magnoliopsida; Poales; Poaceae.